CCUACGGGUGGCAGCAGUGAGGAAUAUUGGUCAAUGGGCGUAAGCCUGAACCAGCCAAGUCGCGUGAGGGAUGAAGGUUCUAUGGAUCGUAAACCUCUUUUAUAUGGGAAUAAAGUGUGGGACGCGUCCUAUUUUGUAUGUACCUUAUGAAUAAGGAUCGGCUAACUCCGUGCCAGCAGCCGCGGUAAUACGGAGGAUCCGAGCGUUAUCCGGAUUUAUUGGGUUUAAAGGGUGCGUAGGCGGCCUUUUAAGUCAGCGGUGAAAGUCUGUGGCUCAACCAUAAAAUUGCCGUUGAAACUGGGGGGCUUGAGUAUGUUUGAGGCAGGCGGAAUGCGUGGUGUAGCGGUGAAAUGCUUAGAUAUCACGCAGAACCCCGAUUGCGAAGGCAGCCUGCCGAGCCAUAACUGACGCUGAUGCACGAAAGCGUGGGGAUCAAACAGGAUUAGAUACCCCUGUAGUC
RNAcentral lists this ribosomal RNA (460 nucleotides) under uncultured bacterium. RNAcentral's name for it is "partial 16S ribosomal RNA". It matches the Rfam family "Bacterial small subunit ribosomal RNA", at positions 338 to 795 of the family's 1533-position model. The record is from RNAcentral.